GGUGCUUGCACCUUUCAAGUGAGUGGCGAACGGGUGAGUAACACGUGGACAACCUGCCUCAAGGCUGGGGAUAACAUUUGGAAACAGAUGCUAAUACCGAAUAAAACUUAGUGUCGCAUGACACAAAGUUAAAAGGCGCUUCGGCGUCACCUAGAGAUGGAUCCGCGGUGCAUUAGUUAGUUGGUGGGGUAAAGGCCUACCAAGACAAUGAUGCAUAGCCGAGUUGAGAGACUGAUCGGCCACAUUGGGACUGAGACACGGCCCAAACUCCUACGGGAGGCUGCAGUAGGGAAUCUUCCACAAUGGGCGAAAGCCUGAUGGAGCAACGCCGCGUGUGUGAUGAAGGCUUUCGGGUCGUAAAGCACUGUUGUAUGGGAAGAACAGCUAGAAUAGGAAAUGAUUUUAGUUUGACGGUACCAUACCAGAAAGGGACGGCUAAAUACGUGCCAGCAGCCGCGGUAAUACGUAUGUCCCGAGCGUUAUCCGGAUUUAUUGGGCGUAAAGCGAGCGCAGACGGUUUAUUAAGUCUGAUGUGAAAGCCCGGAGCUCAACUCCGGAAUGGCAUUGGAAACUGGUUGACUUGAGUGCAGUAGAGGUAAGUGGAACUCCAUGUGUAGCGGUGGAAUGCGUAGAUAUAUGGAAGAACACCAGUGGCGAAGGCGGCUUACUGGACUGCAACUGACGUUGAGGCUCGA
RNAcentral lists this ribosomal RNA (695 nucleotides) under Leuconostoc mesenteroides. RNAcentral's name for it is "bacterial SSU rRNA". It matches the Rfam family "Bacterial small subunit ribosomal RNA", at positions 75 to 756 of the family's 1533-position model. Lineage: Bacteria; Bacillati; Bacillota; Bacilli; Lactobacillales; Lactobacillaceae. The record is from RNAcentral.